Molecule: non-coding RNA, 317 nt
Organism: Cinara cedri
Lineage: Eukaryota; Metazoa; Arthropoda; Insecta; Hemiptera; Aphididae
Source: the annotation of a GenBank genome assembly
UAUUUUUACCUUUAUUCCCGUUUUGCUUUGCCUGUAUCAGUUUAAUGAAAGGAAAAAGUUGAAAACAGGUUAAUGGCAAACUAAAAGUGUUUUAGAAUUAUGAACAUAUAAUAGUACGGUAGUAGUGUAUUAUUUUUACUGUAUGAUGUUUUACGUGUUUUCACUUUUCACUUACCCACCCAGUACAGCGCAUAAUUUAUUGUUUUUUUUUCGAUCCAUUGUUAUCAAUUUGGUGCAUCCUAUUUCAAGCCAAUAAUAGACCUGCAGAGAGUCAGAUAGACUCUUUAUUUUAUGUUUUUAUAGUUUUUAUAGCAUUU